GAGUCUUCUCGGCCUUUUGGCUAAGAUCAAGUGUAGUAUCUGUUUUCAUUUUAGUGAGUCUUAUCUUUUGCAAUGUGCCUGAAGUACGGCAGCUUCAGUUUCAUCAUUUUUGCUUUGAAGAAUACAAUAUUAGGAAGACCUGCU
This 144-nucleotide small nuclear RNA is filed under the name Varanus komodoensis (Komodo dragon). RNAcentral's name for it is "U2 spliceosomal RNA (ENSVKKG00000011279.1)". It matches the Rfam family "U2 spliceosomal RNA". From Rfam's summary of the family: U2 is a small nuclear RNA (snRNA) component of the spliceosome (involved in pre-mRNA splicing). Lineage: Eukaryota; Metazoa; Chordata; Lepidosauria; Squamata; Varanidae. The record is from Rfam by way of RNAcentral.